AGGACGAACGCUGGCGGCGUGCUUAACACAUGCAAGUCGAGCGGAAAGGCCCUUCGGGGUACUCGAGCGGCGAACGGGUGAGUAACACGUGAGUAAUCUGCCCCUAGCUCUGGGAUAGCUCCGGGAAACCGGGAUUAAUACCGGAUAUGACCACUUUAGACAUCUGUUGUGGUGGAAAGAAUUUCGGCUAGGGAUGAGCUCGCGGCCUAUCAGCUUGUUGGUGGGGUAACGGCCUACCAAGGCGACGACGGGUAGCCGGCCUGAGAGGGCGACCGGCCACACUGGGACUGAGACACGGCCCAGACUCCUACGGGAGGCAGCAGUGGGGAAUAUUGCGCAAUGGGCGAAAGCCUGACGCAGCGACGCCGCGUGGGGGAUGAAGGCCUUCGGGUUGUAAACCCCUUUCAGCAGGGACGAAGCGAGAGUGACGGUACCUGCAGAAGAAGCGCCGGCUAACUACGUGCCAGCAGCCGC
Molecule: ribosomal RNA, 474 nt
Filed under: uncultured bacterium
Lineage: Bacteria
Description: SSU rRNA
Rfam family: Bacterial small subunit ribosomal RNA
Source: RNAcentral